RNAcentral lists this unclassified non-coding RNA (489 nucleotides) under uncultured fungus. RNAcentral's name for it is "partial contains internal transcribed spacer 1 and 5.8S ribosomal RNA". The stretch from base 441 to 489 matches the Rfam family "5.8S ribosomal RNA", at positions 1 to 49 of the family's 154-position model. The record is from RNAcentral. Lineage: Eukaryota; Fungi.
UCAAACUUGGUCAUUUAGAGGAAGUAAAAGUCGUAACAAGGUUUCCGCUGUAAGUCCUCGGACUGGAACAUGAUUCCUUCCGCAGUGUACACUUAUCGAAGCCUUUGCAGCCACGCAAGUGGUCGGUCCAGGCGACUCUAAAUAAAUUGGUGCCCUGAUGCAAGUCCGUCGCCCCUGAAUGGUUUAGGGGCGUCCGGGCGACACUUUUGAAUUGACGGGGACUCCCUAACGCCAAUCGCACCAACCAAUGCAUCAUUACUGAGUCUAGGCCCCCUCGCGGGUCGAACCUCCCACCCUUGUCUCUGUGAUACCCUGUUGCUUCGGCGAGCCCACUGGGCUUCCAGUCGCUGGGGGGCCUCCCGUCCCCGGGCCCGCGCUCGCCGAAGCGCCUCUUGAACCCUGAUGAAGAUGGGCUGUCUGAGUAAGAUGAGAAUUAUCAAAACUUUCAACAAUGGAUCUCUUGGUUCCGGCAUCGAUGAAGAACGCAGC